This 69-nucleotide transfer RNA is filed under the name Sorghum bicolor (sorghum). It matches the Rfam family "tRNA". Rfam says of the family: Transfer RNA (tRNA) molecules are approximately 80 nucleotides in length. Their secondary structure includes four short double-helical elements and three loops (D, anti-codon, and T loops). Further hydrogen bonds mediate the characteristic L-shaped molecular structure. tRNAs have two regions of fundamental functional importance: the anti-codon, which is responsible for specific mRNA codon recognition, and the 3' end, to which the tRNAs corresponding amino acid is attached (by aminoacyl-tRNA synthetases). tRNAs cope with the degeneracy of the genetic code in two manners: having more than one tRNA (with a specific anti-codon) for a particular amino acid; and 'wobble' base-pairing, i.e. permitting non-standard base-pairing at the 3rd anti-codon position. The record is from Rfam by way of RNAcentral. Lineage: Eukaryota; Viridiplantae; Streptophyta; Magnoliopsida; Poales; Poaceae.
GUCAACGUAGGCUAGUAGAGCGCAAGGCUCUUAACCUUGUGGUCGUGGGUUCGAGCCCCACGGUGGGCG